CUAUAUUUUCUUUUUUAUAGGAAUGAGUUGAGGAUUUAGGCAGCGGCCAGACAACCGUAGGGAUGGUAUCCACAGAUGAAGGGAUAAUUUAAUCCUUUUUUUGUCUACUGAUUCCAUCUCACAUUA
Molecule: non-coding RNA, 126 nt
Organism: Morus notabilis
Lineage: Eukaryota; Viridiplantae; Streptophyta; Magnoliopsida; Rosales; Moraceae
Source: Rfam